RNAcentral lists this transfer RNA (77 nucleotides) under bacterium. RNAcentral describes it as "tRNA-Met". It matches the Rfam family "tRNA". From Rfam's summary of the family: Transfer RNA (tRNA) molecules are approximately 80 nucleotides in length. Their secondary structure includes four short double-helical elements and three loops (D, anti-codon, and T loops). Further hydrogen bonds mediate the characteristic L-shaped molecular structure. tRNAs have two regions of fundamental functional importance: the anti-codon, which is responsible for specific mRNA codon recognition, and the 3' end, to which the tRNAs corresponding amino acid is attached (by aminoacyl-tRNA synthetases). tRNAs cope with the degeneracy of the genetic code in two manners: having more than one tRNA (with a specific anti-codon) for a particular amino acid; and 'wobble' base-pairing, i.e. permitting non-standard base-pairing at the 3rd anti-codon position. RNAcentral also lists the same sequence under 3 other names. The record is from RNAcentral.
UGCGGGGUGGAGCAGUCCGGUAGCUCGUUGGGCUCAUAACCCAAAGGUCACAGGUUCAAAUCCUGUCCCCGCUACCA